RNAcentral lists this ribosomal RNA (439 nucleotides) under uncultured bacterium. Its description in RNAcentral is "partial 16S ribosomal RNA". It matches the Rfam family "Bacterial small subunit ribosomal RNA", at positions 339 to 795 of the family's 1533-position model. The record is from RNAcentral.
CUACGGGUGGCUGCAGUGAGGAAUAUUGCACAAUGGGGGGAACCCUGAUGCAGCAACGCCGCGUGGAGGAUGACGCAUUUCGGUGUGUAAACUCCUUUUAUAUGUCAAGAAAAUGACGGUAGCAUAUGAAUAAGCACCGGCUAACUCCGUGCCAGCAGCCGCGGUAAUACGGAGGGUGCAAGCGUUACUCGGAAUCACUGGGCGUAAAGGACGCGUAGGCGGGUUGGAAAGUCAGGUGUGAAAUCCUACAGCUUAACUGUAGAACUGCACUUGAAACUUCUAACCUAGAGUAUGGGAGGGGGAGAUGGAAUUAGUGGUGUAGGGGUAAUAUCCGUAGAUAUCACUAGGAAUACCUAAAGCGAAGGCGAUCUCCUGGAACAUUACUGACGCUAAGGCGUGAAAGCGUGGGGAGCAAACAGGAUUAGAUACCCUAGUAGUC